RNAcentral lists this long non-coding RNA (248 nucleotides) under Homo sapiens (human). RNAcentral describes it as "HSALNT0212971". The record is from RNAcentral. Lineage: Eukaryota; Metazoa; Chordata; Mammalia; Primates; Hominidae.
UAUGGGAAAGUAAAGGGGACUACGCUGGAGCGGAUGCGGAAGGCGCUGAGGCCAGGGCUGCUGUCAUGAGUCCUCACAUUUAUGGAUGGGGCUGAUAAACUGUCACACUCCGCACCGUCAAGGACAAGGGGUGAAAAGCCUAACUUUGCACCAGGCAUACCACCCUUGCACAAAAGGCUGAGACCUCCAGGAACCUAGAAGAACCCAUCUUCAAUUCCACAGACUUGAAAAAUCAGCUGGAAAUACAU